GGGCAUGUAGUGUAGGGGUUAUCGCGCCUCAUUUGCACUCGUUGAGGAGGUCUCCGGUUCAAUUCCGGACUUGUCCA
This 77-nucleotide transfer RNA is filed under the name Rhizoctonia solani. RNAcentral describes it as "tRNA-Ala". It matches the Rfam family "tRNA". From Rfam's summary of the family: Transfer RNA (tRNA) molecules are approximately 80 nucleotides in length. Their secondary structure includes four short double-helical elements and three loops (D, anti-codon, and T loops). Further hydrogen bonds mediate the characteristic L-shaped molecular structure. tRNAs have two regions of fundamental functional importance: the anti-codon, which is responsible for specific mRNA codon recognition, and the 3' end, to which the tRNAs corresponding amino acid is attached (by aminoacyl-tRNA synthetases). tRNAs cope with the degeneracy of the genetic code in two manners: having more than one tRNA (with a specific anti-codon) for a particular amino acid; and 'wobble' base-pairing, i.e. permitting non-standard base-pairing at the 3rd anti-codon position. The record is from RNAcentral. Lineage: Eukaryota; Fungi; Basidiomycota; Agaricomycetes; Cantharellales; Ceratobasidiaceae.